This 297-nucleotide unclassified non-coding RNA is filed under the name Hevea brasiliensis (rubber tree). The record is from RNAcentral. Lineage: Eukaryota; Viridiplantae; Streptophyta; Magnoliopsida; Malpighiales; Euphorbiaceae.
UCUCCCUAAAACCAUGUCCAUGACCAUGAUUCAAAUCCUGCCCAAAAAUCUUUGGGAUUCCUUCAACCCUCUCCACAGUACCCACAUUGGAAAACAGGGAAUUAUCGUCUUUCUUCGCGUUGACCACUGGCAAGGCUGGUGCUGCUACCGGCACCAUCGGUUUGGCCCUGAUAACUGCAUUAUUAGUCGAAAAUAUUGACCUUAUUGACUGAACUAUCUCCAUAUUCUCAGAGACGGAUCUCACUGACCCCAAUUCAACAACUCCAACAUCAGUAGCCACCAGAACAAUGGUCUGAA